Molecule: small nuclear RNA, 95 nt
Filed under: Cercocebus atys (sooty mangabey)
Lineage: Eukaryota; Metazoa; Chordata; Mammalia; Primates; Cercopithecidae
Source: RNAcentral
GUGCUCGCUUCAACAGCACACAUACUAAAAUUGGAAUUACACAGAGAAGAUUAGCAUGACCCUGUACAAGGAUGAAGAGUAGGUUUUAAAUUUUU